GACGAACGCUGGCGGCGUGCUUAACACAUGCAAGUCGAACGGAAAGGCCCUGCUUUUGUGGGGUGCUCGAGUGGCGAACGGGUGAGUAACACGUGAGUAACCUGCCCUUGACUUUGGGAUAACUUCAGGAAACUGGGGCUAAUACCGGAUAGGAGCUCCUGCUGCAUGGUGGGGGUUGGAAAGUUUCGGCGGUUGGGGAUGGACUCGCGGCUUAUCAGCUUGUUGGUGGGGUAGUGGCUUACCAAGGCUUUGACGGGUAGCCGGCCUGAGAGGGUGACCGGCCACAUUGGGACUGAGAUACGGAGCAGACUCCUACGGGAGGCAGCAGUGGGGAAUAUUGCACAAUGGGCGGAAGCCUGAUGCAGCAACGCCGCGUGCGGGAUGACGGCCUUCGGGGUGUAAACCGCUUUCGCCUGUGACGAAGCGUGAGUGACGGUAAUGGGUAAAGAAGCACCGGCUAACUACGUG
Molecule: ribosomal RNA, 468 nt
Filed under: uncultured bacterium
Lineage: Bacteria
Description: partial 16S ribosomal RNA
Rfam family: Bacterial small subunit ribosomal RNA
Source: RNAcentral